This 202-nucleotide ribosomal RNA is filed under the name uncultured fungus. RNAcentral describes it as "partial 5.8S ribosomal RNA". Lineage: Eukaryota; Fungi. The record is from RNAcentral.
GGUUGAAGCUGGCCUCUCGGGGCAUGUGCUCGCCUUGUUCAUAUCCAUCUCACACCUGUGCACACUCGCGUGGGUCGGUCGGGUUCUUUUUUGCGCCCUUCCGAGCCGCGUCUUCUCACAAACUCUUCGUAUGUCUUCAGAAUGGUAUCAAUGCUAUAAAACGCAUCUUAUACAACUUUCAACAAUGGAUCUCUCGGCUCUC